This 253-nucleotide ribosomal RNA is filed under the name uncultured bacterium. RNAcentral describes it as "partial 16S ribosomal RNA". It matches the Rfam family "Bacterial small subunit ribosomal RNA", at positions 524 to 776 of the family's 1533-position model. The record is from RNAcentral.
UACGUAGGGUGCAAGCGUUAAUCGGAAUUACUGGGCGUAAAGCGUGCGCAGGCGGUUUUGUAAGUCUGAUGUGAAAUCCCCGGGCUCAACCUGGGAAUUGCAUUGGAGACUGCAAGGCUAGAAUCUGGCAGAGGGGGGUAGAAUUCCACGUGUAGCAGUGAAAUGCGUAGAGAUGUGGAGGAACACCGAUGGCGAAGGCAGCCCCCUGGGUCAAGAUUGACGCUCAUGCACGAAAGCGUGGGGAGCAAUCAGG